This 270-nucleotide long non-coding RNA is filed under the name Anas platyrhynchos platyrhynchos (common mallard). Its description in RNAcentral is "lncRNA (ENSAPLG00000029027.1)". The record is from RNAcentral. Lineage: Eukaryota; Metazoa; Chordata; Aves; Anseriformes; Anatidae.
AAAUCCUCUACACCAAAGAUAAAAGGUCAGCUCUUUGUACAGCAAGGGUUGGGUGAACCUGUAUCCUCUACCCAUAUCAUAUUACAGGUAGGAUAACCUUUAGCAACAUCCAGUUUUCCCAUAAGCUAAUCAGAAGUACAUACUUAGCCCUCCAAACAGUGUUUCACUAGUAACUCAGGUAAGUACCAGAAUAACUUUAUUAAAACAUUAACAGUGUAGAUAAAUAUUCAUCUAUCAGUUCAAAUAAACAAAACUUUUGAUUAGUUUCCA